This 23-nucleotide non-coding RNA is filed under the name Cricetulus griseus (Chinese hamster). The record is from RNAcentral. Lineage: Eukaryota; Metazoa; Chordata; Mammalia; Rodentia; Cricetidae.
ACUGAAGAGACCUUAAAAGAAUC